UGGGGAAUUUUGGACAAUGGGGGAAACCCUGAUCCAGCCAUCCCGCGUGUGCGAUGAAGGCCUUCGGGUUGUAAAGCACUUUUGGCAGGAAAGAAACGUCGCGGGUUAAUACCCCGCGAAACUGACGGUACCUGCAGAAUAAGCACCGGCUAACUACGUGCCAGCAGCCGCGGUAAUACGUAGGGUGCAAGCGUUAAUCGGAAUUACUGGGCGUAAAGCGUGCGCAGGCGGUUCGGAAAGAAAGAUGUGAAAUCCCCAGAGCUUAACUUUGGAACUGCAUUUUUAACUACCGGGCUAGAGUGUGUCAGAGGGAGGUGGAAUUCCGCGUGUAGCAGUGAAAUGCGUAGAUAUGCGGAGGAACACCGAUGGCGAAGGCAGCCUCCUGGGAUAACACUGACGCUCAUGCACGAAGGCGUGGGGAGCAAACAGGAUUAGAUACCCUGGUAGUCCACGCCCUAAAACGAUGUCAACUAGCUGUUGGGGCCUUCGGGCCUUGGUAGCGCAGCUAACGCGUGAAGUUGACCGCCU
RNAcentral lists this ribosomal RNA (528 nucleotides) under uncultured bacterium. RNAcentral describes it as "partial 16S ribosomal RNA". It matches the Rfam family "Bacterial small subunit ribosomal RNA", at positions 355 to 874 of the family's 1533-position model. The record is from RNAcentral.